RNAcentral lists this transfer RNA (69 nucleotides) under Scincella vandenburghi (Tsushima smooth skink). RNAcentral's name for it is "tRNA-Arg". The record is from RNAcentral. Lineage: Eukaryota; Metazoa; Chordata; Lepidosauria; Squamata; Scincidae.
CAACAGCUAGUAUAAAUAAAACAAUUAAUUUCGGCUUAAUAACUCCAGGUUUAACCCCUGGGCUGCUUU